Molecule: ribosomal RNA, 301 nt
Filed under: uncultured bacterium
Lineage: Bacteria
Description: partial 16S ribosomal RNA
Rfam family: Bacterial small subunit ribosomal RNA
Source: RNAcentral
CAGCCGCCGCGGGAAUACGAGGGGGGCAAGCGUUGUUCGGAAUUAUUGGGCGUAAAGGGCGCGUAGGCGGUUUGGCAAGUUUGGUGUGAAAUCUUCGGGCUCAACUCGAAGUCUGCAUCGAAAACUGCCGGGCUUGAGUAUGGGAGAGGUGAGUGGAAUUUCCGGUGUAGCGGUGAAAUGCGUAGAUAUCGGAAGGAACACCUGUGGCGAAAGCGGCUCACUGGACCAUAACUGACGCUGAGGCGCGAAAGCUAGGGGAGCAAACAGGAUUAGAUACCCCGGUAGUCCCUGUCUCUUAUAC